GCAGAACCACGCAUGUGGCUGAGUUUUAUAUAAACAACAUCAAAUUAAUCGCGCGUUACGACGAUACACAAUCUUAUUUGAUGUAUCGGCAGCUGAAUUUUACAUAAACACUAGCAAAGUAACCGUAGGUUGCGACAGCAUAUAAUUUCCUUCAACGUAUAUGCGGCUCGAGUUCUAUGCACCUUCUGAUCCUCCAAAUCAAUAUUCGUCCUCUCCAACUCAUUUCACCAUUCUUCUUUUCCAAAUUUCCUCUCCUACCUAUUAGUGAAACAGAAAUAAAAAAAAAGCAGAAAAAAGAUCAGUCGGAAUCAAUAUCCAACGUUUUAGCUGGUAAUGUCAAUCAGUAUCCAACGAUUCCUUGAUGUUCAGAUCAAACAAACAAAUAAUAAAACAUUUGUAAGUCAAGGAAGAUAUAUCAAAGGCAUGUUGAAGAAAUUUAGAAUGGUUAAAUCCAAGACAAUACAUACACCAAUAGGGACCAAUGGUUAUCAGGACUUGGAUACGAGUGAUUAAGUGAAGAAAUGGUGGACCAAAAGGUAUAUUUGUCAAUGAUCGAGAGUCUACUUUAUGCGACCACAUCUAGACCAAAUGAAAUGUUUAGUUAUGCUUGUGCGCAAGAUUUAAAGCCGCACCAGAAGGAAGUCCUUUGAAAGGAAUAAAGAGGAUAUUGAGGUAUUUGAAUCAUACACAAAGUGUUGGACUCUGACAUAUCGAGGUGUUACAAUUUGAAUCAAUUGGAAUAUUUAGAGUGUUAUUAUGCGGGAUGCAAGGUGGAUAUAAAUAGCACUUCGAGCACAUGUCAAUUGCUCGGAAGAUCACUUGAGUCUUUGUCAUCGAAGAAACAAAAUUCGGUUACAAUAUCAACGAUCAAACCAAAGUACAUUUCCAUGAAACCCAACUUUAUAAGACUAUAGAAUCAAAUUUACACUGAGUGCAUUUACUUUGUGACGAUAAAUGUGUUGUCAAGAUAGCCACCAAUCCGUUACAACACUAAAAAAUCAAAACACAUUAGUAUCUGACAUCACUUCAUUAGAGAUUUGGUCCCCUGAUGUGGACGGCCUUGUACUUUGUCUUUUAAACCCUCUAUGUAUGGUGGAAAUAAUUUUAUUUUAUUUUAUGCCUCUUCAUGUGAAAAUAAACUAAUUCUUGUAAAUUCAUGUAUAAUAUCUGUGAAAUUUAUGCACCCUAAAAGGCUCUUAGUAUUUUUAAUGUAGGCUGCAGAGGGAGAGAGAGAGAAAUGUUGGAGAAGAAACACGCAGCUUGUAACCUAUUUCAGCUUAUUUUGAUAUUAUAGAAGCUUAUAAGCUGUACAAAGACAUGUCCUUCAAUAAACUAGUGAUUGAACACCCAUCAUAAGGGCCGCCACGCAACUAAUACAUCCAUCCAUCCAUCCAUCGCACCGCUUGGUGGGCCGUCCACAUCACCAAACCUUCUGGCUUCUGCACUGCUCUCCUCCACCCCUCAACGAAGCCUCUGGUGCCUCGGCCACCGCAGCAGCCUGGCCCUGCCCCGGCCCCCGGGCGUGGUGUCAGGUCUCAGGUGUGGUGGCGCUUUCUCCUCUCCGGCACGGUGGCCGCGUCAUCCCAGCUCUCCCGCGCGGCGGCGGCGGCCGUUUCCUCUCCUGCGCUCCUCCUGCCGCACACAGCCAGAGUACGCACCCCUCCUCCCUCCCUAUCCUGGGUAUCCCCUCCCACAUGAUUCGGUGGUUCGAUCGGCGCGAGUUACUACCCGGCGUGGUUCGAAAUUAGAAUGCGCGAUUAACUUGUACCUUAGGAUUGGCCUGCGUUUGGAUCUCUGGGCUGGAGAGAGCCGGGCCUGAGGGAGUGAAUCACUUUGCUUCUGAUGGGAUCGCGCCGGAAUUCGAAUCGGAUCGGAUCGGCUUAUACACAGGCCGCCCUGCCGCUGAUCGGAAUCUCUCUUCACCGUUCAGUAGUAGCAGAUUUCAUUGCUGCAUGUCGAGCUAAUUCAGUUUACGCAUCAUACCAAUCGACGGUUCUGUCUGGGUCCUGCUAGAGUGCUAGACUGCUAGGCAUGUGUUCUUCUUCAUACUUAAAGCGGAAAAAAUCAUGUCCAAAAAGAUUAGAUGUUCCUUGAUACUACUCUGUGAGUCACAAGGAAGUGCAUGAUACUAAAUAGAGCUGGUAGCGGCUGCUUUCACAUUAGCAGUCGUCUACUGCUUGUUAGAAUUGAUCUCCACCAACGGCCAACUGGGCCCUUGACCUCACGCCUUGAUCAGGGCGUCCAGCCCAAGGUAGCAGACCGAAGACAACAUAUUGGAAUGUAGCAUCCGCUAUUGCAAGCCAUUAUUGCUAUUGUUAGGCCACUAUUUUACUAUAUGGAGGAUUCAAAUGAUGAUGUGGAUGAUUCCAAUGGUAAUGAAAAUGUUAAGAUGGCAAUUCGGAAUAUCAUAAAGAAAUGAUGGGAUGAUUAAUGACAUUAUUUUCAAUUGAUAUGAGAACUUUGAGAUAAUUUGACUCCACAUGCCUUCUUUAUACCUUAUUCAUUUAUAUGCUUCUAUGUGGUUUCAUGGCAUUAAAUGCAAUAAUUAGCUAAAAACUUCUAAUUAUUCAAGAAAACAAUAUAUUAGUAUUGGUAUAUCUGUCAUCCAAAAAAUUGGUUGUUUUUAGUAUUCCGCUAUUGAACUUAGCAUCCGUUAUAGCAUCUGCUAUCUGCGAUUCGCUACCAGACUUUAAUCCGCUACGAAGCCGCUAUCCGCUAUUUAUUACCUUGAGUAAGGCAAAUGUUGAAAGAAGUGGAACUGACAGAAACUCAGACACCUGAUCACGUUUUCCUUCAGCUUAGCUCAAUUGCUCUUUGUGUUUGUUUUGCUGGAUGUUGCUGUUCCCUGAGUGUAAAAUCUGAUGCAGCUGGUUCAAUGUAAAUACACUGAUUCACUAGAAAAAAACAGGUGACAGAGGUUUGAUCCUAGGGAUGCUGAGGGCUUUGUAUAUAUCAGCCUCCAUGGCUGAAUACUGCAUAUGGCAAUCACAAGGUCAUGACUGGGUCACUGUAGGUUGUCAUUGUUGAUUUUUCCUUUUUUUACUUCUUUCCACUCUUCACAUUAAUUUAUUGGGGAGUUUGUUUACUAUUUCUGCAUCUCUACAUUAAAAGUUUAAUCAAAGGCUAUUGUCCUUGUGGGUGGAUGUGGAUCACUUAGCAGUAGAGUAGAGUGGGAAGGAAGAGAAGAACAAAGUACUCCCUCCAUCCGGAUGACUUAGGCGUUUUAGCCCAUUUAACUUGUCCAUGCACUUUGACGCAGUCCGCACCCAGUUUCUCUGUCCGCACAAAAUUUUCCUGUGAGACGCGUAGCAGGCGAUGAGGAAGCGGCCCAGCUGGUUUGUUUUUGGCGCCAACGCGUACUAGUCGGAAGCAGCCCACCUUUUGUUGUAAUCAAGGUGCGGAGUGUUAAUUACGUUUUGUUGUAAUCAACUCUUAAUCAAGACAAAGCAGGGUUACAUAUGUCAUUUUUCUUCUCCCUUAAUUUGCCUUAAAAAACCUACAACGUCUAAGUCAUCCUGACGAAGGGAGUAGGCAAGUGGGAAUUGGUGAGGGCAGGAUUGUUAGAAUUUUCAGAAUUCUGUUAGUGUUCAUGCCUCUCUUCUCCCUCUGUUUGCCUAAAGUACUCUCUAGCUAUGCCAUUCUAGGCCUGUAAUCAUCGAGUUGGGCCUCCUAUUCCUACUAGGCCUUGUAACCCGCACCCAGUGGCGGAGCUCUAUAAAACUAACGCCCCGGGCCACUAUAAAAUAUGAAGGUAACCCUAAAAUAUUGUACGGCUAAAUAUAACGCUAAAACAAAAUAUACCAAAAACAUAGACUAAGAUAUUAUUUACCUUAAUUCAGUAUCUAAAAAUACAAUAAACUUGAAAAAAUAUAAAGGUACCUAAUUAGAGGUGAUUUGGUCCUUUCUCGCCUCUAAUAACUUCAUCAACAUUAGCACUUAAAUUUGAACCUACACAUUGCAAGUUAAUUAUUUGUAUAAAAUGAGAGAUACAAUAUAACAAUAUAACUAAUGAAUGCAAAAUUUUAUACCACUUGAACAAUCUAGUAUUUAGCUCGCUCACUACAAUCACUAGUAAUAAAAAAGAAGUUGAGAAGAGUUUUACUGCUUAGUGCUUACAGCUAGUUGGAGUCUAUCACCCUAGAGGCGUGUGGAGCAGUGGAUGUGGAUGGAAAUUGGAAUGGAGGCCGACUGCCUCACUGCAACACUGCCCGAGUGGGCACUGACGGCCGACGCUGGCCCUGGCAGCCUGGCUGGUUGGUCAGACCCAGACGACGGAGCAGCGGACGGCGGAUGGGCACCGGACGACCGACGACACACGGGCGGACGGGCGCGCCGCGCGCGAAGCCAAGCAGGUGGAGGCGGCCGGCGAGCGCCGUCAUGCGUGGUCACAUGGAUGCGCAGGCAGGCAGCGAAGCGGCUGGGAGCGUGGGAUGGAAGGCAGCAGGCAAGGAAGAGUAGCAGGCCUUUGAGGCCGGUUAGGGUUUUUUUUGGGCUAAAAUUCUCUCUAUAUACAUAAACGUUUUGGGCUACGUCCCGGGCCACGGCCCAGGUGGCCCGGGGCCCAUAUCCGCCCCUGCCCGCACCGGCACCUCUCCAUCUUGAACACUGUCUGUUGCCUGAUGGUGAACAGUGUUGACAUUAUCACCCUGAUUUUUAGUUGCUUCUCUGAAACUCAUUGCUCGUAUGUCUUUGCCCAUCCCAGAAAUUCCAGCUGAAGUUUGUUUGAGGAUAGGCGACAGCUUUGCGAGUCCUUCGUGUUGAAGGAGAAAUUGUAGCUGAAGUGAAAAAACAGCAGGGAACGAUGGCACUAUCACGAAGUAUGAGAGCAUGUUUGCACAGUGGAAGACUUGCACUUCUUGCCAUAUUGGUCUCUGGUGGAAUUGUAUUGCAAAUCUUGGUAAGCAUCUAACUUCAAUAUCUAUGUGGCAGUUUGUUAUCUUUUCCACUGUCACCUAAAUUUCUAUAAUUCUUGCUCCUUCAGGCUUGUGCUCUCUAUAACAACUGGUGGCCAAUGCUAACAGGUUAGAUUUUUUUGUGUAAUGCUGGCAAACUAAGCUUAUAUCAUCCUAAUAAUUGUUUGUAGGGACAUCGUAAGUAAUCCUUGACGUUUUGUGCAGUUCUCAUGUACCUUAUCCUACCAAUGCCCCUCAUAUUUUUCCUGGGUUCUGAUACUUCCUCCAUGAUGUCCAAUGGGGGAGACGGGUAAGUGAUUGUCUCUAGUCCAGGCUGCUGCUUUUUUCCCCUUAAUCACCCCUGCCACCUGCUUUGGCACUAUUUGUUGCCCCCAAAGAUAUGCAUUGCCUUGCUGGCAUUCAUUUUUAGUAGAGAUUCUAAAACAAAGGUCCUGAGCCAUCAUGGUUGGAUUGUCUUCCUAAACAACAUUUCUGGUGCACAAACGAAUAGACUUCAUUGCCAUGAAACAGUCUGCUUGUUACGUGAAACCUAAUUGCUGAUUACAUUCCCUAGGUUCUCUUUCACAUCUUUCUAACUAUAUAUAUUUUUUCUUCAUACAUGGCAAAGUUAAUUGGUGUUACCUUUCCUGCCACUGCAGCUGGGUGAACUUCACGAAAUUCUUGACGGGCG
Molecule: long non-coding RNA, 5583 nt
Filed under: Zea mays
Lineage: Eukaryota; Viridiplantae; Streptophyta; Magnoliopsida; Poales; Poaceae
Description: long non-coding RNA (ZMAY_LNC002638)
Source: RNAcentral